Actinobacteria bacterium 13_1_20CM_4_69_9 is the source of this 74-nucleotide non-coding RNA. NCBI's taxonomy places the organism in Bacteria, Bacillati, Actinomycetota. The record is from Rfam.
GCGGAUGUAGCUCAGUUGGCUAGAGCGUCUGCUUGCCAUGCAGAAGGUCGUGGGUUCGAGUCCCAUCAUCCGCU